This 429-nucleotide ribosomal RNA is filed under the name Bacillota bacterium. RNAcentral describes it as "Firmicutes bacterium partial 16S ribosomal RNA". It matches the Rfam family "Bacterial small subunit ribosomal RNA", at positions 355 to 776 of the family's 1533-position model. The record is from RNAcentral. Lineage: Bacteria; Bacillati; Bacillota.
UAGGGAAUCUUCUACAAUGGACGCAAGUCUGAUGGAGCAACGCCGCGUGAGUGAAGAAGGUUUUCGGAUCGUAAAGCUCUGUUGUCGGUGAAGAAGGAUAGAGGCAGUAACUGGUCUUUAUUUGACGGUAAUCAACCAGAAAGUCACGGCUAACUACGUGCCAGCAGCCGCGGUAAUACGUAGGUGGCAAGCGUUGUCCGGAUUUAUUGGGCGUAAAGCGAGCGCAGGCGGAAUGAUAAGCCUGAUGUGAAAGCCCACGGCUCAACCGUGGAAGUGCAUGGGAAACUGUCAUUCUUGAGUGCAGAAGAGGGGAGUGGAAUUCCAUGUGGAGCGGUGGAAUGCGUAGAUAUGUGGAAGAACACCAGUGGCGAAGGCGGCUCUCUGGUCUGCAACUGACGCUGGGGCGCGAAAGCAUGGGGAGCAAACAGG